UACGGGGGGUGCGAGCGUUGUCCGGAAUCACUGGGCGUAAAGGGCGCGUAGGUGGCGUCGUAAGUCUGUGGUGAAAGCCCGGAGCUCAACUCCGGGUCUGCCGCGGAUACUGCGAGGCUUGAGUGCUGUAGAGGGGGGUAGAAUGCCGGGUGUAGCGGUGGAAUGCGUAGAGAUCCGGCAGAAGACCGGUGGCGAAGGCGGCUCACUGGACCAUAACUGACGCUGAUGCACGAAAGCUAGGGGAGCAAACAGG
This 253-nucleotide ribosomal RNA is filed under the name uncultured bacterium. Its description in RNAcentral is "partial 16S ribosomal RNA". It matches the Rfam family "Bacterial small subunit ribosomal RNA", at positions 524 to 776 of the family's 1533-position model. The record is from RNAcentral.